Glycine soja is the source of this 1120-nucleotide long non-coding RNA. RefSeq lists it as uncharacterized. The record is from RefSeq and is a predicted model, not a curated record. The transcript is spliced from 3 exons. Lineage: Eukaryota; Viridiplantae; Streptophyta; Magnoliopsida; Fabales; Fabaceae.
ACUGUUCAUCAUAACAUAAAUAUUUUGCUUAUGAUACUGGGUUUAGUUUCCUUGCCUUUGUGUUUGCAUUAAAUCUAUUGGUUAUUGUAUAAUUCAUAUGGAAUUACUAUACUGUGUAGUACUUGUUUGGGUUUGGGAAUUGUAGAGGUGCAACAUGAUAAAAUGUAGGGCUCGAGUUAAGCCUGAAGGCAAUGGUUAUAAGUUGCGGCUGGAAUGAAAAGUUUUUUUUUUACUCACUGUGACCACCAGUGUGACCACAUCAGCCACAUUUUCCCCACAAUGAGAAACAAACCUAGUACAUACGAUUCAUUUUGAAGGCCCAAAUUGAAGCCAGGCUUUUUGCCUCAGCAUGUCAUAGCUUGCAACCUACAUCAGGCUAUGUAGCCUGUUUUGCCACUUCUCAGAGUGGUGAACCUUGAAAAGUAGAAAAAACCGAAAGAAAGGUUUGAGAGUGUUUAUAUGUUCGGUGCAUUUUUGUUUAUUUUGAGAUUGAAUGAAUACUGUCUUCUUUGUGUAUCUAUUUGGUUAAUGGAUGGGAUUAUGCAACUUUACGUACUGAGUUGUUGUUGUUCCAUGCUUUCCAUGUAUGAAUUUGGAAAUUGGUUGUGCAUAUUGUCAUGGUGGGCACACGUUAAAAGCCAGUUGUCCUGUAUUUAUGGAGGAGGAUAGGAAUGUAAUUAACAUAGAAAGAAAGAUUUGACCAAUGUUCAAUCUCUCCAUUGAUAUUAAACGGAGUCAAGGAUGCUGGAUAUGAGAAAAUGACAGUUGUGCAAGAGGCUACUCUUCCAGUAAUUCUCAAAGGUAAGGAUGUCCUUGCCAAGGCCAAGACAGGCAAAGGAAAAACAAUAGCCUUUAUCAUUGGAAUGUUUCUUCAUAUUCCUUUAUGGGUGACAAUUAAUGUAAGGUAUAGUUGGUACCUAAGCUAACUUUAAAUAAGCAAACUACUGGGUUGGAUCACUCUGCUUCAUUCCAUGGGCUUCAGAUUCAAAGUUGGAUAUUUUAUCAUCACUACUAGAAAUCACAGUUUUUACAUCGGUUGAAAACGACAUUUUACAUCGUUUUUGGACCAUUUUUGAAUAUGAUGUUGUUGAAACUUAAAAGUUUCGACAUCGUUCCUCAA